GACGUAGGGCGCGAGCGUUGUCCGGAUUUAUUGGGCGUAAAGAGCUCGUAGGCGGCUUGUCGCGUCGUCUGUGAAAACCCGGGGCUCAACUCCGGGCUUGCGGGCGAUACGGGCAGGCUAGAGUUCGGUAGGGGAGACUGGAAUUCCCGGUGUAGUGGUGAAAUGCGUAGAUAUCGGGAGGAACACCAGUGGCGAAGGCGGCUUUCUGGCCUGUUCUUGACGCUGAGGCGCGAAAGCCAGGGGAGCAAACGGG
This 253-nucleotide ribosomal RNA is filed under the name uncultured bacterium. RNAcentral's name for it is "partial 16S ribosomal RNA". It matches the Rfam family "Bacterial small subunit ribosomal RNA", at positions 524 to 776 of the family's 1533-position model. The record is from RNAcentral.